CAAAUUGGAGUGGGGAGAGGUUAAUGCCCUGUGGUAUGACAUGGAGAAAUGACUGAUAGCUAUCUAAAAUUAGCAAGCCAUUCUGUGACAAGCUGAGAAGAGUGUUGCUGUACUUCUCCACACUGGAUGGAUGUGUGGCAGGGUCAGAGCAAGGGGAUAAAGAGGGAGCAAUGAAAGAGAGCAGUAUGUACUGCUGGGGUUAAAGCCACAGAUCUAAGGGCAUAGUCCUGUCUGGUCAGUACUAAAACACACAUUAUUGCUGUAUGCCUCUAACACCUGAAGCAUGCUUUGGUGGGUUUGGUAGAAAUCACAAAUCUUGAAUUACCUUAACCCUAAAUAUCUCCCAGAACCAUACACAAGCAGCAGUGGUAAUACUAGCAUCACUGGUUGAGCUGCAAGAUGGGCACCAAAGCACUGUCUGCUUUUCAGACACCAUGCCCCAAAAGCUGCCUAGAGAGCUGAGGAGCAGUGCAGAUAAAGCCUCCACCGCCCUUCAACGAGGGGAGGAGUUGAGCAGCUGCAGUGCAUGAAGGGAGCUUUCUGCCUUCACCUGUGAAAUAACAUUUUGGUGAACAAUUUCUCUAACAGGUGGGUUGAGCAGCAUCAGUAUGCCUUCACUCUUAGCAGGCAGGGUAGUGCUGGUCAUGCAGCAAUUUCCUUGGCUUUUUCUGUAUAUUUCCAUGUGGCAUGAUCAGUACAAAGAGUUCUGUCACCAUCCUGUGAAAGAACUGGUACCUAAGUUGGGUGAUAGGGACAUGGGAAUAUGGUCCAGCUCUUCUGUACCCUCAGACUGCAUCUUUCACCAGGACAUGGGCAGCAUCUUCCAUAAUAAUUCCUACACACACAGGAGCCCUGUGAGAAAUAAUGGCAAGACCACAGAAAACUUCGAGAUGUCCCUUCUACCUUCUCUGUCCUGCAAUGGUUCCUCUCCUUGAACAGUUGACUGUUCUCAUGUAAGGCUUUGGCAAGGAUUCUGAUGACUCAGCCUGGACCUGUCUCCAGCAGUGACUGACUAUAGAUUUCUCCUGUGUCACAGUCCAGCAUCACUGUU
This is a long non-coding RNA of Neopsephotus bourkii (Bourke's parrot), 1051 nucleotides long. RefSeq lists it as uncharacterized. NCBI's taxonomy places the organism in Eukaryota, Metazoa, Chordata, Aves, Psittaciformes, Psittacidae. The record is from RefSeq and is a predicted model, not a curated record. The transcript is spliced from 3 exons.